Molecule: long non-coding RNA, 358 nt
Organism: Sander lucioperca (pikeperch)
Lineage: Eukaryota; Metazoa; Chordata; Actinopteri; Perciformes; Percidae
Exons: 2
Source: RefSeq, a predicted model, not a curated record
CAGGACAGUUUGUAGUUUAGUUUUUGUAUAAUUGAGUUUUUUCUUUUCAUAAAACUUUCUACUUUUACUCCACUUCACAAAGUCUCUUUGUUGUUACAUAACCAGACUACUUUAUGAAUGAGUGAACAUGACAACAUUAAAAACAGACCCAGAGUUAAACUGUCACGUCUUUUAUUCAACAGGUAGUAAUAGAUUACUCUGAUUCAUCAGGUAGUAACAGAUUACAGAAUCUUUUCAAAGUGAACAGGACCGUAUUUAUCACAUCCGAUUACAAUCUUCCUGUUCUUUUUUAAUUCACCUUUCUUGUACGGACAGUUGGGAGGCUUGUCUUUCUUUGCAGCCAUUUCCUUCGUCUGUU